This is a long non-coding RNA of Cynoglossus semilaevis (tongue sole), 1528 nucleotides long. RefSeq lists it as uncharacterized. Lineage: Eukaryota; Metazoa; Chordata; Actinopteri; Pleuronectiformes; Cynoglossidae. The transcript is spliced from 3 exons. The record is from RefSeq and is a predicted model, not a curated record.
UUUAUUCCUUUAAAAGUGGUGUUUGGCAAAUUUUUAGUAAUCUUUUUAGUACGCUUUUAGUCUAACUUCAGUCCAAACAUGUAACCACAAUAAUAUUGGAAAAGCAGGAGCAAUAGAUCUUGUUUAAUUCAAAUUACAACUGCAUAAGUACAAGUAAAAUUGUCAUUCGGGAUUAGAAUGAAAGAAAAGUCCGUCAAAACGUCCGUUGAAAGAGAAGCCAAACGUACUUCCGGUUCCUGUCCGUCCCCAAGACACACACGGAGACUUUUUCUUUUUUCUUUUUUACAAAUGGGGCGUGUCUCCUCACAACCAGCAGGUGCAGAAAGUUUAUUUAGAUUAAAGCCGAAAACAUUAUUUAAUACAAUCUUCAUGGAAAAUAAUACAUUCUUUCACUUGAGCUGAGCUUUAAGCUGAGGACAGAUUCAGCCUGGAUUGUCUGCUCUCAGAACAGAUGGUGAGGAGUGAGGCCCCCAGGACUCAGGGGAACUGGCUGUGGCCCUGCCAGUGCAUGAUGGGAAAAUUUCAGAGCUAUAGCAGAAGCUCUGGGUCACUUCCAGACCCUGGAGGUGCAGUAGCAGCGCCACCUAUCCUACUCCCUGCCCUCCGUUCUGCAGCUCUGGUUCACACCGAGACCUGUCAGGAUUUGACACUGAAUCUGUCAGAUUUUGAUAAGGUAGAAGAAAGGGAGCAGAAAGAGGAGGAGGAGGAGGAGGAGAAAGAGGAGGAGGAGCAUCUUAUUUACUGAAUGAUUAUCAUUAGAAAGAUGACAUGGUUUUUAAACCUCUCUUUUACACAGUCUGAUGUCCAGAAAGUCAGUGACUUUACAUUACAGCAUAUUUGAGGGUCCAAGGUCAGUAGACAUUUUGAAGGUGGGCUCUGCUGCUGGCCUCCAUCUCAUGCUGUCCUUCCUCUGCCUGAACCUCCUCUACAUCACUGCUGCUAACAUUAGUGUAAAUUAUGGUAUAAUAAUUUAAUAAAGUUGGCAGCUUGAUCUGUCCUUUUUAUUACAAUUAUCAUCAGGCAGUGGGGUUGCGUUCCAUCACUGGAAAAUAAACACCAUCCAUCAUGCUUGUGGCGAUUAAACCCUGACAGGCUGAGCUGCGCUCUGCAUAAACACAGUGUAAUGAUGAAGCUGGAGGAGAAGGAGAUGUUUCCUCAUCGAACUCUCUGCUUUCACCAGGGAACAUGACAACACAGAACCGUGGAACUAAACAACUCUCAGUUCUGCUAGUUCCGCUUUGUGUCCUUCCAGAACUUUCCAGAAAACCUGGCACCACCGCCGCUGCCACCUUCUGGCCAUCGGAGCCUUAAAUCUAACUUAAUAUGAAUCUGUUACUGACUUUGAGAGAAGCUGGACUUUUUUGUUUCUCCGAGUUAUCGCUGCUUGAAUCAGCGUUGCAUCAGGAUCCGCUGAAUGUUUCAUGUUCUCUUUGUGUUCCUCUCCAGAACAAGGUGUUUCUGAGGAGAAAGGAGCUGCUCUUUGAUUUUGUUCGUCCUGAAAAAUGUAUGAUCACACACACACACACAC